CAGAGCUGCAGCCGGCUCGGCUAGGCGGUGGCCGAGGCUUUCGUCUUCGGCAACCAGAACUUUGGCUACACCGUCGAUCUUGGCGGCUUGCUCUGC
RNAcentral lists this transfer RNA (96 nucleotides) under Actibacterium pelagium. RNAcentral describes it as "tRNA-Glu". The record is from RNAcentral. Lineage: Bacteria; Pseudomonadati; Pseudomonadota; Alphaproteobacteria; Rhodobacterales; Roseobacteraceae.